Molecule: ribosomal RNA, 468 nt
Filed under: uncultured bacterium
Lineage: Bacteria
Description: partial 16S ribosomal RNA
Rfam family: Bacterial small subunit ribosomal RNA
Source: RNAcentral
GACGAACGCUGGCGGCGUGCUUAACACAUGCAAGUCGAACGGAAAGGCCCUGCUUUUGUGGGGUGCUCGAGUGGCGAACGGGUGAGUAACACGUGAGUAACCUGCCCUUGACUUUGGGAUAACUUCAGGAAACUGGGGCUAAUACCGGAUAGGAGCUCCUGCUGCAUGGUGGGGGUUGGAAAGUUUCGGCGGUUGGGGAUGGACUCGCGGCUUAUCAGCUUGUUGGUGGGGUAGCGGCUUACCAAGGCUUUGACGGGUAGCCGGCCUGGGAGGGUGACCGGGCACAUUGGGACUGAGAUACGGCCCAGACUCGUACGGGAGGCAGCAGUGGGGAAUAUUGCACAAUGGGCGGAAGCCUGAUGCAGCAACGCCGCGUGCGGGAUGACGGCCUUCGGGUUGUAAACCGCUUUCGCCUGUGACGAAGCGUGAGUGACGGUAAUGGGUAAAGAAGCACCGGCUAACUACGUG